CCAGACGGCCGGAUGGCCGCCUUCCGCGCUCCGCGCGGGAGGAGGAAAGUCCGGGCUCCACGGAAACACGGUGCCGGGUAACGCCCGGCGGGGGCGACCCCAGGGAAAGUGCCACAGAAAGCAAACCGCCGGCCCAGGUCGCGGUCCCUUCGCGGGACGGACCGCCGGCAAGGGUGAAAGGGUGCGGUAAGAGCGCACCGCGUUCCCGGCAACGGGGACGGCACGGCAAACCCCACCGGGAGCAAGACCAAGUAGGGACGGCACGCCACACUCGUUCCUUCGCGAGCGGGUUUGGCGGGCGGGUUUCCGCGCCGCCGUCCGGGUCGGUCGCGUGAGGCGUCCGGCAACGGGCGUCCCAGAUGAAUGGCCAUCCAUCGCGCCGUCCGCCUUGGCGGCCGGCGUGGGGACAGAACCCGGCUUACAGGCCGUCUGGCACC
RNAcentral lists this RNase P RNA (437 nucleotides) under Rhodospirillales bacterium. Its description in RNAcentral is "RNase P RNA component class A". It matches the Rfam family "Bacterial RNase P class A". From Rfam's summary of the family: Ribonuclease P (RNase P) is a ubiquitous endoribonuclease, found in archaea, bacteria and eukarya as well as chloroplasts and mitochondria. The record is from RNAcentral. Lineage: Bacteria; Pseudomonadati; Pseudomonadota; Alphaproteobacteria; Rhodospirillales.